UACAGAGGGGGCUAGCGUUGUUCGGAAUUACUGGGCGUAAAGGGCGCGUAGGUGGCCUGUUAAGUCGAACGUGAAAUCCCCGGGCUCAACCCGGGAACUGCGUCCGAGACUGGCAGGCUCGAAUCCGGGAGAGGGAUGUGGAAUUCCAGGUGUAGCGGUGAAAUGCGUAGAUAUCUGGAGGAACACCGGUGGCGAAGGCGGCAUCCUGGACCGGUAUUGACGCUGAGGCGCGAAAGCCAGGGGAGCGAACGGG
RNAcentral lists this ribosomal RNA (253 nucleotides) under uncultured bacterium. Its description in RNAcentral is "partial 16S ribosomal RNA". It matches the Rfam family "Bacterial small subunit ribosomal RNA", at positions 524 to 776 of the family's 1533-position model. The record is from RNAcentral.